ACCCUGCUGACGGAUUGAACGGCAACCGGCAGCGAGAGCCGGGCAGGGU
RNAcentral lists this non-coding RNA (49 nucleotides) under unclassified sequences. Its description in RNAcentral is "DUF2693-FD RNA". It matches the Rfam family "DUF2693-FD RNA". Rfam says of the family: DUF2693-FD RNA is a non-coding RNA (ncRNA) recognised in Bacteroides by a bioinformatic analisis by Zasha Weinberg. The record is from Rfam by way of RNAcentral.